This 465-nucleotide ribosomal RNA is filed under the name uncultured bacterium. RNAcentral's name for it is "partial 16S ribosomal RNA". It matches the Rfam family "Bacterial small subunit ribosomal RNA", at positions 28 to 507 of the family's 1533-position model. The record is from RNAcentral.
GACGAACGCUGGCGGCGUGCUUAACACAUGCAAGUCGAACGGAAAGGCCCCUUCGGGGGUACUCGAGUGGCGAACAGGUGCGUAACACGUGAGUAACCUGCCCUUGACUUCGGGAUAACUUCAGGAAACUGGGGCUAAUACCGGAUAGGAAUCCUUGCUGCAUGGUGGGGGUUGGAAAGCUUCGGCGGUUUUGGAUGGACUCGCGGCUUAUCAGCUUGUUGGUGGGGUAGUGGCUUACCAAGGCUUUGACGGGUAGCCGGCCUGGGAGGGCGACCGGCCACAUUGGGACUGAGAUACGGCCCAGACUCCUACGGGAGGCAGCAGUGGGGAAUAUUGCACAAUGGGCGGAAGCCUGAUGCAGCAACGCCGCGGGCGGGAUGACGGCCUUCGGGUUGUAAACCGCUUUCAGCAGGGGCGAAGCUUGUGGUGACGGUACCUGCAGAAGAAGCACCGGCUAACUACGUG